UAUUUUUUGUUUUAAACUUUUUGAUUUCAUUUAUUCGUCAUAUUUGUCAGCUGAUAAUUUGUUUACAGGAACAUAUAAUUUCCAACUUAAAUAUUUCGUGUUGCACGUCUCAAAUAAUGUUUCAAAUCCAAAUAUUGGUGUCGUUUUUCUUCCGCAUCAAGCUGUUUUAAAUGUCGUGAAAGAAUUUGAAAGGUACGACAAGGAAAAUAAAUGCGAAUUUAAUAUAGAAAUGUUGACAACAAUUUCAAAUGAUGAUAGUUUUAAAGUCGGAUGUGAUAAAAUAAAAUUUUUACAGCUCUUGAUAUUAUUUGCGAAAACCCACAAUAAUUCUGUCAAUUAUUUAAACAUUUUACAAGUGUUGUUGAUGUAUAUACGUCUUGUUAAACACGACUACAAUGUGAUAACAGAAGAUCAUCUUCGAAAAUCAAUAAUAUUUUAAGAACUUAAAAUUAUUAUAUAUUAAUUAAUAUAUAAUUUUAAGUUUUAUAAAUUGGUUCAUAUUAAAACUAUUUAAAACAAAUGUU
This is a long non-coding RNA of Daktulosphaira vitifoliae (grape phylloxera), 524 nucleotides long. RefSeq lists it as uncharacterized. The record is from RefSeq and is a predicted model, not a curated record. The transcript has 3 exons. NCBI's taxonomy places the organism in Eukaryota, Metazoa, Arthropoda, Insecta, Hemiptera, Phylloxeridae.